Carya illinoinensis is the source of this 2526-nucleotide long non-coding RNA. RefSeq lists it as uncharacterized. The record is from RefSeq and is a predicted model, not a curated record. The transcript has 2 exons. NCBI's taxonomy places the organism in Eukaryota, Viridiplantae, Streptophyta, Magnoliopsida, Fagales, Juglandaceae.
AAUAGAGUAGUGCUACAUAGAAGCCACUGUAGCAGUGCACACAUUGCACUCACUACGUGGCUUCUGUUUUUUUUUUUAAAAACCAAACAUGCGUUUUACUUCUCGGUUGAUUUCUCUUCCCCAUUCGAAUUUCAGAGCCCCGCGAAAUACCUCCUCCCUCUCCCGCAUCACAUCACCUUUCUCUACCCAGCACCACCCGGCGACGCUGUCUUUCUGUCCAACGACACCGAGCGACGCUCCUCCGUCUGCCCAGCGUUACCACUUCCUGAGAUCAAAUCAUUGAACGGAGCAAACCAUAUUUAAAUCCCAUGAAGACCCCCCUCCUCCCUCACCAAGCAACCUAUGUCACGGCAUUUGACCUCUGCCCAGCACCACCCUGCAAAGCUCAUCCAUCUGCCCAGGUCUGCCCCUCCCCCGAGCUCAUUUAACGGAAACUAGCGACACUGCUAUGGUGGAGCUCUCUUUCGCCGCCGUCCCUUGGAGGGCAUCGUAGGUAACAUUUCAAGGACAAAUUUGGUUUCUUCUUGUGUACUGAGAGGGGUGAGUUUUGGGUUGUUGUGAGAUGGGUAUUGCAGCUUAGGGAAUGGAGUGUCGAAAUCAUUUGCAUCUUUAACAUCUUCUUGCUCCGUCAUAAAUAAUUUUUUCACAUUUACACAAAAAAUAGAAUUUUUACAAACAACAUCAAUCUCUCUCUCUCUCUCUCUCUCUCUCUUGAAAAGCAAGUUCGUGUAAUAUUUCCAGAACUCUAGAGAGCUUCCAACGGACGUGGUUUGUGCUCCAAAACUUGAGAACUGAUAUUGCUACCUGUUGAGACUCUCAGUGCUUGAAACUAUCGAAGAAAGUUUGAGGAUUAAUGGCUUUCAUCUUUGAAUUAUUAUAGUUCUGCUUCUUUUAAAUUAUUCUCUUUAAUGCUCUAAAAUUAUGUCUCGUUUCAUGUUUCUCAUAUUUCUUUUUUUUGUCUUGUGGGCUUGAAUUAUUGGUUGUUGAUUGUCUUUUUCUUUUUAAUAAUUUUAUUAUUGGUUAAUAGUUAUAUGAGGAUUAUGGUUGCAUCUUUAUGAUAAAUCAUAAAUGGGUUUUCGUUAGUUUUGAUGAACUUACAAAUUGACUGCCCCAGAUUUUACUAAAUGAUAGAUGUCUUGAGUGGCAUGUGUGAGUUCCAAGAAUUUUAUGUUAAGCAGGAGAUACAUGCAUGCGAGUUAACCCGAAGAGAACAUGUUGGCUUCAAUGACUAGGCCUGCUAAACUUUUAUGUUGGCAAAGUUCUGAAUGUAAAUAUACACCCUAAGUGGGAUUAUUAUAUUUAAAACUUUCCCAUCCACUGCAUUAUCUACAAGGUUUUUUUUUUAUUUCUCCCUUCAACUGAGCAAUUUGAUGGAGUAGAUGAUUUUACCCUUUCAUAUAUUAUGUGGUGAGCCCUUAUAGAGAACGUGUUUGAGAAAAGAGAAUGUGUUUUGAGUUAAACUAAAAGUUUUCCUGUCUUUUGUACAAAGCUCCGCCAAAAUACAGUUUUGAAGUGAGAUCAUUUUCAUUUAGGAAUUCAUCUGAUUAUGUCUAAAUGUCAGUUUAAGAGCUAUCAACUAUGAUUUCUGUUAUCUUUCAGUUUUAUGGAAACUACCUCUCCCAAUUUUCAAGAGCCAAAGAAUCACUUGUAGUAAUGUCACUGAAGCUUUUGAACAAUGUUAUUCUUCAUCUUAUAAUUUGUCAUUCUCAAAUCAUACUUUUCAUCAUUUUCAAAGGUCUUGUCAUCAUUUCUUUUCUUUUACAUUUCUUUUUUCCUUUUAUGACUUAAAGCCUUCUUUUUAGAUAUUUGUAUUUCUCAUUAAUUUGACUUUAUAUCCUCUAACAUUGUAUGAUUGACAAUCUGCUGUAGCAGGAAAGUAGUUCUAUUUUGCAAGUAACUUUAGAAGAAAAGUUUCAGGGCAGACAUUAGUGAAUCAAGAAUGCUACAAUUUUAAUUGGUUCCUGUUUAUAUUGCAGAAAUUACAUUGAAGAAUGUCAGGGGAGGUUUUACAUCACUUUCUCAGAUAGAUUUUCUUAUACUAGAUUUUCCACUGACAAUCUAAUAUGCAGACAUAUUACUCAUUUUUUAGCUUCAUUUGAUUUUGAAUUUUUCUCAAAUAAUCUACUGGUGUUGCAGCCUUGCCUCACUUGUGCUUCAUUGAGCUUUGUAAAAUUGUUUGUUUGCAAAAUUGUUUCUACCAUGUUUUGAUCAAACACCUUACUAAUGAAUUGCAUGUUUAUUGUGCAGACUUCCAUAGGAAGUGAAUCACAAUACAAAGAGGCCCCUACUGAUAUUCAUGAUGGACACAGAAUAGAAGGGACUCAACCUAGUACAAACAAGUUGUAACCUUUUGUGUAGUGUAUGAACAAGUGAACAAGUUCUGAUGCGCGUAAUUCUUUGUGAUGAAUGCUCUCUUGUAAUAAGUAUUUUGACACAAUGCUAUUUGUGAUGGAACCUUUUCUUGUAAUAAGUAUUCGAUACAGUAUUAUUUGUGAUGGAAUGCUUUCCUGUGAUGCUUUCGUGUAA